GAUGAACGCUGGCGGCGUGCCUAAUACAUGCAAGUCGAGCGAACAGACGAGGAGUUUGCUCCUCUGACGUUAGCGGCGGACGGGUGAGUAACACGUGGAUAACCUACCUAUAAGACUGGGAUAACUUCGGGAAACCGGAGCUAAUACCGGAUAAUAUAUUGAACCACAUGGUUCAAUAGUGAAAGACGGUUUUGCUGUCACUUAUAGAUGGAUCCGCGCCGCAUUAGCUAGUUGGUAAGGUAACGGCUUACCAAGGCAACGAUGCGUAGCCGACCUGAGAGGGUGAUCGGCCACACUGGAACUGAGACACGGUCCAGACUCCUACGGGAGGCAGCAGUAGGGAAUCUUCCGCAAUGGGCGAAAGCCUGACGGAGCAACGCCGCGUGAGUGAUGAAGGUCUUCGGAUCGUAAAACUCUGUUAUUAGGGAAGAACAAAUGUGUAAGUAACUAUGCACGUCUUGACGGUACCUAAUCAGAAAGCCACGGCUAACUACGUG
This 497-nucleotide ribosomal RNA is filed under the name uncultured bacterium. RNAcentral's name for it is "partial 16S ribosomal RNA". It matches the Rfam family "Bacterial small subunit ribosomal RNA", at positions 28 to 507 of the family's 1533-position model. The record is from RNAcentral.